CCUACGGGCGGCAGCAGUGGGGAAUAUUGCGCAAUGGGCGCAAGCCUGACGCAGCAACGCCGCGUGCAGGAUGAAGGCCUUCGGGUUGUAAACUUCUGUUAAGGGGGAAGAGCAGAAGCCGGUACACCUUGAAUAAGCCUCGCCUAACUACGUGCCAGCAGCCGGGGUAAUACGUAGGUUGCAAGCGUUGUCCGAAUUUACUGGGUGUAAAGGGCGUGCAGCAGGAGUGACAAGUCAGUUGUGAAAUCCACGGGCUCAACCCGUGAAAUGCAUUUGAAACUGGUUCCCUGGAGUGUCGGAGAGGUAAUCGGAAUUCCUGGUGUAGCGGUGAAAUGCGUAGAUAUAAGGAAGAACACCAGUGGCGAAGGCGGAUUACUGGACGAUAACUGACGGUGAGGCGCGAAAGCGUGGGGAGCAAACAGGAUUAGAUACCCCUGUAGUC
RNAcentral lists this ribosomal RNA (442 nucleotides) under uncultured bacterium. RNAcentral's name for it is "partial 16S ribosomal RNA". It matches the Rfam family "Bacterial small subunit ribosomal RNA", at positions 338 to 795 of the family's 1533-position model. The record is from RNAcentral.